GGUUUCUUGGCGCAGUUGGUUAGCGCGUCUCCUUAACACGGAGGAGGUCGCCGGUUCGAACCUGGCAGAAAUCA
This 74-nucleotide transfer RNA is filed under the name Sporisorium reilianum SRZ2. Its description in RNAcentral is "tRNA-Val (AAC) (tRNA-Val-AAC-2-1)". It matches the Rfam family "tRNA". Rfam says of the family: Transfer RNA (tRNA) molecules are approximately 80 nucleotides in length. Their secondary structure includes four short double-helical elements and three loops (D, anti-codon, and T loops). Lineage: Eukaryota; Fungi; Basidiomycota; Ustilaginomycetes; Ustilaginales; Ustilaginaceae. The record is from RNAcentral.